CAAUCAUUACAGCUAUCGCAAAUAAGCACUGAACAUGGAGGACUCUAGUGGCAGUGGUGUCUUGGACUCGUUUAUUCACUUCGCUCUACUUGCGGGUGCCGUUUUUCAGUUGGCUUGCAUAUUUGCGGUUGUGAUAUUCCCAAAGAGAAAAGAUGAAAUGGAAGAGAUAGAAGAAGAUGGUGCCCUUGAUGCAAAUGAACCACUGAGACAAGAAACAAGUAAUUCAGGAACUAAAAAAUUGAAGGCAGACACAAAAAAGAAAAAAAGAUGAUAUCUUCAAACACAGUUAUAGGAAUAAAAAGUUUGUAUGUGUGUAUGGCAAUAUGGACCAGCAGUUAACCACUGAAACGAA
Lingula anatina is the source of this 352-nucleotide long non-coding RNA. RefSeq lists it as uncharacterized. Lineage: Eukaryota; Metazoa; Brachiopoda; Lingulata; Lingulida; Lingulidae. The record is from RefSeq and is a predicted model, not a curated record.